RNAcentral lists this ribosomal RNA (666 nucleotides) under uncultured Micromonosporaceae bacterium. RNAcentral's name for it is "bacterial SSU rRNA". It matches the Rfam family "Bacterial small subunit ribosomal RNA", at positions 136 to 816 of the family's 1533-position model. The record is from RNAcentral. Lineage: Bacteria; Bacillati; Actinomycetota; Actinomycetes; Micromonosporales; Micromonosporaceae.
CUUUGGGAUAACCCUCGGAAACGGGGGCUAAUACCGGAUAUGACCUCCUGUCGCAUGGUGGGGGGUGGAAAGUUUUUUCGGCUUGGGAUGGGCUCGCGGCCUAUCAGCUUGUUGGUGGGGUGAUGGCCUACCAAGGCGACGACGGGUAGCCGGCCUGAGAGGGCGACCGGCCACACCGGGACUGAGACACGGCCCAGACUCCUACGGGAGGCAGCAGUGGGGAAUAUUGCACAAUGGGCGGAAGCCUGAUGCAGCGACGCCGCGUGAGGGAUGACGGCCUUCGGGUCGUAAACCUCUUUCAGCAGGGACGAAGCGUAAGUGACGGUACCUGCGGAAGAAGCGCCGGCCAACUACGUGCCAGCAGCCGCGGUAAGACGUAGGGCGCGAGCGUUGUCCGGAUUUAUUGGGCGUAAAGAGCUCGUAGGCGGCUUGUCGCGUCGACUGUGAAAACCCGCGGCUCAACUGUGGGCUUGCAGUCGAUACGGGCAGGCUAGAGUUCGGUAGGGGGGACUGGAAUUCCUGGUGUAGCGGUGGAAUGCGCAGAUAUCAGGAGGAACACCGGUGGCGAAGGCGGGUCUCUGGGCCGAUACUGACGCUGAGGAGCGAAAGCGUGGGGAGCGAACAGGAUUAGAUACCCUGGUAGUCCACGCUGUAAACGUUGGGCGC